GACGAACGCUGGCGGCGUGCUUAACACAUGCAAGUCGAACGGAAAGGCCCUGCUUUUGUGGGGUGCUCGAGUGGCGAACGGGUGAGUAACACGUGAGUAACCUGCCCUUGACUUUGGGAUAACUUCAGGAAACUGGGGCUAAUACCGGAUAGGAGCUCCUGCUGCAUGGUGGGGGUUGGAAAGUUUCGGCGGUUGGGGAUGGACUCGCGGCUUAUCAGCUUGUUGGUGGGGUAGUGGCUUACCAAGGCUUUGACGGGUAGCCGGCCUGAGAGGGUGACCGGCCACAUUGGGACUGAGAUACGGACCAGACUGCUACGGGAGGCAGCAGUGGGGAAUAUUGCACAAUGGGCGGAAGCCUGAUGCAGCAACGCCGCGUGCGGGAUGACGGCCUUCGGGUUGUAAACAGCUUUCGCCUGUGACGAAGCGUGAGUGACGGUAAUGGGUAAAGAAGCACCGGCUAACUACGUG
This 468-nucleotide ribosomal RNA is filed under the name uncultured bacterium. RNAcentral describes it as "partial 16S ribosomal RNA". It matches the Rfam family "Bacterial small subunit ribosomal RNA", at positions 28 to 507 of the family's 1533-position model. The record is from RNAcentral.